Molecule: ribosomal RNA, 460 nt
Filed under: uncultured bacterium
Lineage: Bacteria
Description: partial 16S ribosomal RNA
Rfam family: Bacterial small subunit ribosomal RNA
Source: RNAcentral
CCUACGGGAGGCAGCAGUGAGGAAUAUUGGUCAAUGGACGAGAGUCUGAACCAGCCAAGUAGCGUGAAGGAUGACUGCCCUAUGGGUUGUAAACUUCUUUUAUAUGGGAAUAAAAUGUUCCACGUGUGGGAUUUUGUAUGUACCAUAUGAAUAAGGAUCGGCUAACUCCGUGCCAGCAGCCGCGGUAAUACGGAGGAUCCGAGCGUUAUCCGGAUUUAUUGGGUUUAAAGGGAGCGUAGGUGGAUUGUUAAGUCAGUUGUGAAAGUUUGCGGCUCAACCGUAAAAUUGCAGUUGAAACUGGCAGUCUUGAGGACAGUAGAGGUGGGCGGAAUUCGUGGUGUAGCGGUGAAAUGCUGAGAUAUCACGAAGAACUCCGAUUGCGAAGGCAGUUCACUGGACUGCAACUGACACUGAGGCUCGAAAGUGUGGGUAUCAAACAGGAUUAGAUACCCGAGUAGUC